CUGGUGUUCACGCCCUACAAAAAAGAUAAGUCAGGCCCAAACUCUAGCCUGUCUUGCAUCUACAGGCCUAUGGAAGCUCCAUAGCAUCCCCCUGCUCUUAACCCAAACCUUUAUCUCUGCUUUGCUGACUCCUCAUCCCACUGCAGGUGCCGGCACCACACCGCAUGACUGCAGUGGCCGUGUCAACGUGGCGCUGCUGACACAGUGAGCACAAAAUGGCCAAGGAAACCAUUUUCAGACCAGCAACCCGGUGAGCGGGGCUGUGCAGGGGAGGGCAGAGCAGAGAAGCAGGGCAGGAGGCUGCUCCUUUCGUCCUUCCUCUCUGCACUGCAGAUGGGUGUCUACUCCAAGAUGGAACCAGAGCUGGACAUGCGCCUGUCCUCAGCUCUCUAACCGGUCUCCAUGCCAUACCAGACAGAUAAGUCAGCCAGAAACGGUAUCCUUCGUAGGCCCGAAGGGCCCCUAACUGCUCCCCAAGACACCCCUGCCCUCACCCCAACAGUUGAUAUUAGUUAGCUGAGCAGGGGAC
RNAcentral lists this long non-coding RNA (529 nucleotides) under Gallus gallus (chicken). RNAcentral describes it as "lncRNA (ENSGALG00010009481.1)". The record is from RNAcentral. Lineage: Eukaryota; Metazoa; Chordata; Aves; Galliformes; Phasianidae.